Molecule: long non-coding RNA, 1601 nt
Filed under: Salmo salar (Atlantic salmon)
Lineage: Eukaryota; Metazoa; Chordata; Actinopteri; Salmoniformes; Salmonidae
Description: lncRNA (ENSSSAG00000084259.1, ENSSSAG00075032571.1)
Source: RNAcentral
GUAAAUUAAUAUAGACAGUAAUUAUGCACCUUUGCCUACCUUGAAGCCCAAUUAAAUUAGCAAAUGAAUAGGAACGUCAUUGGGCUUUGGCUUAUUGAUUCUUGAAAAAAUUUAAACGAACCUCAGUUCUAUAAAUUAAAAGCUUAGUUACAUUACACCAUAACGCUUAUUAACGAUUACUUUGUAUACCAUGGCAUGGUAGACGGUUCCAUCCCGAGGUAGACAGCCAUCUAUAUGCGGUACAUGGACUGCCUAAAUAGGGUAAAUAAAAGUUACCCACGUUCACGUCCAUAAACUGACUAUAUGUGCACCCUAAUAACAUGACCGACCAACAAUUCAAUGCAACCCGCUCCAAAAAAAUCCUCGGUAAACUACCAUCGGCUGCCCAAGGACAUACAACUUUUGAAGAAGUGGCUCCAUGUCCUGAAGAGGAAGGACUUGCAAGCUCGAGCUAGUAGGAUCUGCAGACAGCAUUUCGCGGAGGCAGACUUCGCGAUGAAGGGCACUUACUAUGCGGCAACCGGGAGUUUCCGAAUAGAAAGGAGUCAUAGGCCUAUGUUGAAGCCCUCUGCCCUCCAUUUGACAUUGAGGGUUAUGGUGUAGGGGUUACCGACCGACCAUCAUCAAAAGCGACUGAACGGAGGAGUCGAUGCAAUGGAGCCCCAGCGAAUGGUUAGUACAGCAUGCCAAACUGACCCCUUGGUGCCAGUGUUCCUGUGCUGCGGUGGAGAAGAGGUCUACCGGGACCAUCAUUAAAGAGUUCAGGGCCCAGCUAGAUUGCGCUCACGAUCAUCAGUAUACAACCGAGUCCUGCCCCUAUAACACAGAUGGAGCUGACAGAGAGUGAGAUCAAUGAAGACCAUAACUCACUGUAUGAACCUGAGGGCUCAGAAUCACAAUCAUCACAGUGCGAGCCAAGAUAUACUAUCGAUCAGCGGGAUGGUGUUCCGAAAAUAAAGAAGGAACUGGCCAUUCAACAGCGAAUUCAAAGAUACACCCAUCCAUAAAGGGAAUCGGAGUGGAAUUGUUUUUCCACUGAUUUAUUUUUCUUUUCAAUGGAUGUGUUACCUUGUCCCGGUUCUGCUGUUUCAACUCUCUCUCUCUCUCAACCUAUUAAUGCUCAGCAGUGAAAAGCCAACUGACAUUUGCUCCUGAGGUGUUGAACUGUUUCGCCCUCUAUAACCACUGUGGUUAUUAUUUUGAUGUAAAAAGGACUUUGUAAAAUAUCUUUGAUUGUUUGCUGUGCUGGAUGCUGUGUAUUCACUGAGUGAUGGGACAUUUUUAUAGUAUCUGUAACAUAUUUGGGGUUUAUUUAUUCUGCAUCUUAACUUCUUAAAGUGGUAAUCAGCAGUAGAAACAAUAACAAAGUGACUCCCUGCUCCUCUUUUGGUAAAAAGCUGAUGGAUGAGGCUGGAGAAAUGUAACCACUCUCAAAUUCAAAGACAGAGCUAUAGAUGCUAAGACUGACCAUCCAUGAUAUCAAAAUUGUAAUCCUGUUUCUAUGAUCUGUUUCCACUACCAUGUACCCAGUUCGCUUUGGAUAAAGGCGUCUGCUAAAUGGCAUAUAUUAUUAAAGUCUGCUUUGACUCUGACUAGCUGCC